Molecule: long non-coding RNA, 2308 nt
Filed under: Homo sapiens (human)
Lineage: Eukaryota; Metazoa; Chordata; Mammalia; Primates; Hominidae
Description: HSALNT0259746
Source: RNAcentral
GUGGGCUGAGUCCGAAAAGAGUCAGCGAAGGGAGAUAGGGGUGGGGCUGUUUUAUAGUAUUUGGGAAGGUAAUGGAAAAUUACAGUCAAAGGGCGGGCAGGAGUGGGGGGUCGCAAGGUGCUCAGUGGGGGUGCUUCUGAGCCAGGAGAAGGAAAUUUGCAGGGUUAAUCACUCAGUUAAGGUGGGGCAGGAACAAAUCACAAUGGUGGAAUGUCAUCAGUUAAGGCGGGGCAGGGCCUUUUCACUUCUUUUGUGAUUCUUCAGUUACUUCAGGCCAUCUGGGUGUAUAUGUGCAAGGCACAGGGGAUGCGAUGGCUUGGCUUGGGCUCAGAGGCCUGACAGUGGCACACGCCUGUAAUCCCAGCUACUUGGGAGCCUGAGGCAGGAGAAUCACUUGAACCCAGGAGGUGCAGGGUGCAGUGAGCCGAGAUCGCCCCACUGCACUCCAGCCUGGGCAACAGAGACUCCAUCUCAAAAAAACAAAAAAAAAAGCACAGGUCCCCUCCCUCAGUCCUGCAGACUUCCUCAAGCUGGGAAGGACCAAGGAUUUUGGGAAAUAACUCCACCGGCUUACAGACAGUGCACCCCAGGACAAAGAGUCAUGGUGUAAAUUUUAAUUAUCCUUUGUAGAGGCUUCAAAAAAAAAAAAAUCUAGAGUGCAGAGGUUCAGUCUGGUCCACACAGUUCUGAAUGCCUUUUAAUUAUCAUCACACACACCAGAGAAGGUCAUCUUAGAAUAUUUAAUCAGUUAGCACUAGAUGAAGGCUGGAGUAGGAGAGACUGGGAUAGUGGGGGGCAAUGUGGGGAUGGAGGCAGGGCGAGGGAGAUAAAGUCAAACUGGUUUUUUUUUUGUUUUUUUUUUUUUUUUUUUUUGGAGACAGAGCCUUACUCUGUCGCCCAGGCUGGAGUGCAAUGGUGUGAUCUCAGCUCACUGCAACCUCUGCCUCCUGGGUUUAAUCGAUUCUCCUGCCUCAGCCUCCCAAGUAGCUGGGAUUACAGGCACCCACCACCAUGCCCAGCUAAUUUAUUUGUAUUUUUUUAGUAGAGACAGGGUUUCACCAUGUUGGCCAGGCUGGUCUCGAACUCCUGACCUCAGGUGAUCCACCCGCCUCGGUCUCCCAAAGUGCUGGGAUUAUAGGGGUGAGCCACCGUGCCCAGCUAAGAUAUUUCAAUCUGUGAAUAACCCAUAUGGCCUGGUAACAGCAAGCACCUGGGAAUAUAUACAUAUAACCCACAUACGGACUGUCCCGUUCACUCCUCACAACCACUCUGCUAACAUACUACCAUCACCCCAUUUUAGAGAUGAGGAAACUGAGGCAGAGGUGCCUUGCCUAAGGUUUACAUAGUUCCAUUUGAGUGCCUACAUGGGAGUGCUUCAUUUGGUCCCCAAAGCUAGCCUGAGACAAGAACUUUCUUCUCCCCCCCCCGCAAGAGACAGGCUCUUCCCAUGUUGCCCAGGCUGCUCUCCAACUCCUGGCCUCAGGCGAUCCUCCCACCUCGGCCUCCUGAAGUGUUGGGAUGACAGCCAUGAGCCACUGUGCCUGCCCAGUUAUUAUUUUAUAAAUGUAGAAACCGAGGCACUGAGAGGUAAAGUAACUUGCACAGGAUCACAAGCCAGCCGAGAAGUGGUAGAGCUUGGAUUUGAACUUACACAAUCUGGGACUCAUACUCUUAAUACACAGUGGUACUGUCAAUACAGGAGACACAUGUGGCUAUUUAAUUAAAAGUAGUUGGGCAGAGUGGCUCACUCCUAUAAUCUCAGCAUUUGGGGAGGCCAAGGCAGGAAGAUUGUUUGAGCCCAGAAGUUCAACACUGCAGUGAGCUAUAGUUACACCACUGUGCUCCAGCCUGGGCGACACAGCGAGACCCUGACUCCAAAAAAAAAUCUUAAGGUUUUUUUUUUUUUUUUUUUUUUUUUGAGACAGGGUCUCGCUCUGUUGCCCAGGCUAGAAUUUAGCGGCACGAUCACAGAUCAUCACAGCCACGCACGACCUCCUUGGCUCAAGGGAUUCCUCCCACCUCAGCCUCUCACGUAGCUGGGACUACAGGUAUGCAUAACCUCGCUGGGCUCGUUACUUUGUUUUUUUUUUAGAGGCAGGAUUUCACCAUGUUGCCCAGGGUGGUCUCGUACUCCUGGAUUCAAGCAAUCCUCCUGCUUCGGCCUCCCAAAGUGUCAGGAUUACAGGCGUGAGCCACUGUGCCCAGUCUCAAACAAAAUUAAAAAUUCAGUUUCUCAGUCACACUAGCCACAUUUCAAGUGCUCAGAAACUUUAUGUGGGGCCAGGCAUUUUAAAAUAGGGAGAUUUAA